RNAcentral lists this ribosomal RNA (492 nucleotides) under uncultured bacterium. RNAcentral describes it as "partial 16S ribosomal RNA". It matches the Rfam family "Bacterial small subunit ribosomal RNA", at positions 29 to 507 of the family's 1533-position model. The record is from RNAcentral.
AGUGAACGCUGGCGGUAGGCCUAACACAUGCCAGUCGAACGGCAGCACAGUAAGAGCUUGCUCUUACGGGUGGCGAGUGGCGGACGGGUGAGGAAUACAUCGGGAUCUACUUUUUCGUGGGGGAUAACGUAGGGAAACCUACGCUAAUACCGCAUACGACCUACGGGUGAAAGCAGGGGAUCUUCGGACCUUGCGCGAUUGAAUGAGCCGAUGUCGGACUAGCUAGUUGGCGGGGUAAAGGCCCACCAAGGCGACGAUCCGUAGCUGGUCUGAGGGGAUGAUCAGCCACACUGGAACUGAGACACGGUCCAGACUCCUACGGGAGGCAGCAGUGGGGAAUAUUGGACAAUGGGCGCAAGCCUGAUCCAGCCAUACCGCGUGGGUGAAGAAGGCCUUCGGGUUGUAAAGCCCUUUUGUUGGGAAAGAAAAGCAGCAGGUUAAUACCCCGCUGUUCUGACGGUACCCAAAGAAUAAGCACCGGCUAACUUCGUG